This is a small nuclear RNA of 192 nucleotides. Its record names the gene U2. It matches the Rfam family "U2 spliceosomal RNA". Rfam says of the family: U2 is a small nuclear RNA (snRNA) component of the spliceosome (involved in pre-mRNA splicing). Complementary binding between U2 snRNA (in an area lying towards the 5' end but 3' to hairpin I) and the branchpoint sequence (BPS) of the intron results the bulging out of an unpaired adenosine, on the BPS, which initiates a nucleophilic attack at the intronic 5' splice site, thus starting the first of two transesterification reactions that mediate splicing. The record is from Ensembl.
AUCGCUUCUCGGCCUUUUGGCUAAGAUCAAGUGUCGUAUCUGUUCUUAUCAGUUUAAUAUCUGAUACGUCCCCCAGCGGGGGACUACAUAUUAAGCGGAUUUUUUAGAACAGGGAGUCGGCAAAGGAGCUUGCUCCAUCCGCUCCACGCAUCGACCCAGUAUUGCAGUGCCUCUGGUAGCGGUGCACUUUCU